Molecule: unclassified non-coding RNA, 336 nt
Filed under: soil metagenome
Description: partial contains 5.8S ribosomal RNA, internal transcribed spacer 2, and large subunit ribosomal RNA
Rfam family: 5.8S ribosomal RNA (bases 1-120)
Source: RNAcentral
GAUGAAGAACGCAGCGAAAUGCGAUAAGUAAUGUGAAUUGCAGAAUUCAGUGAAUCAUCGAAUCUUUGAACGCACAUUGCGCCCCCUGGUAUUCCGGGGGGCAUGCCUGUUCGAGCGUCAUUUCAACCAUCAAGCCCCAGGCUUGUGUUGGGGACCUGCGGCUGCCGCAGGCCCUGAAAACCAGUGGCGGGCUCGCUAGUCACACCGAGCGUAGUAGCAUACACAUCGCUCAGGGCGUGCUGCGGGUUCCGGCCGUUAAACCCCUUUUUUACCCAAGGUUGACCUCGGAUCAGGUAGGAAGACCCGCUGAACUUAAGCAUAUCAAUAAGCGGAGGA